CCUACGGGGGCAGCAGUGGGGAAUAUUGGACAAUGGGCGAAAGCCUGAUCCAGCCAUGCCGCGUGUGUGAAGAAGGCCUUCGGGUUGUAAAGCACUUUCAGUGGGGAAGAAAGCCUUGGGGCUAAUACCCUCGAGGAAGGACAUCACCCACAGAAGAAGCACCGGCUAACUCCGUGCCAGCAGCCGCGGUAAUACGGAGGGUGCGAGCGUUAAUCGGAAUUACUGGGCGUAAAGCGCGCGUAGGCGGUCUGAUAAGCCGGUUGUGAAAGCCCCGGGCUCAACCUGGGAACGGCAUCCGGAACUGUCAGGCUAGAGUGCAGGAGAGGAAGGUAGAAUUCCCGGUGUAGCGGUGAAAUGCGUAGAGAUCGGGAGGAAUACCAGUGGCGAAGGCGGUCUUCUGGGCUGACACUGACGCUGAGGUGCGAAAGCGUGGGUAGCAAACAGGAUUAGAUACCCGAGUAGUC
This 464-nucleotide ribosomal RNA is filed under the name Vreelandella stevensii. RNAcentral's name for it is "partial 16S ribosomal RNA". It matches the Rfam family "Bacterial small subunit ribosomal RNA", at positions 338 to 795 of the family's 1533-position model. Lineage: Bacteria; Pseudomonadati; Pseudomonadota; Gammaproteobacteria; Oceanospirillales; Halomonadaceae. The record is from RNAcentral.